GCAUUGUGGCAAUAAUUUGAAGGAUGUAGCCAAGUGAGCAAUGUAGAAAUUUCAGGAACGAACAGUAUUCCAAGCAGAAAGCACUGGCAGGCACAAAGGUCUUGAGGUGGUGCAUGCCUGGUGUGCUAGAAGAAAAAAAAAAAAAACAAAACAGGGAUGCCAGUGUGGCCGAAAGAAUGAACAAAGUGGAAUGCGGGGGGAGAGGUGGCCUGUGAGAUAACAUGCAACUAGAUGGUUCAGAGUUCUGUAGGCCCUUGUCAUGUUUCUGGCUUUUACAGAGUCAGAUGGGAAACCAGUGGAAGGUUUUGAGUGCCCAGUGAAGUGAUGUGAUAUAUCUUAACAGAAUCACAUUGGCUGCUGUGUUGAGAAUGGAUUGAAGAAAGCCAAGGGCAGGCUCAAGGAAGCUGUUGCAAAAUUCCAAACAGGAGAUAAUGGUAGACUGGAGCAGAGUGGAGCAGUGAAGGUUGACAAAGGAUGUGAAGAAGUGCAUCACUGAGUGAGAAUUUUAAUUGGUAUAACUUCUUCGGAGUGCAGUUUUUUGUAUAAGAAGAGUAAUAAUCUACAGGGUGCAUUUCUGACAGAGGCGACCACUUUGGAAUUUUGAUGGCAUCAUAAGAAACCUAAAAAGGAGAGAAAAACAAGGUUUUAUUUAUUUAAGAGAGAGAGAGAGCUCACAAGCUGGGGGGAGGGGGGGCAAAGGGACAGAGAGAGCAUCCUGAGCAGACUCUGCACUGAGUGCAAAACCCCACCUGCGGCUUGAUAUCAGGACCCUGGGACCAUGACCUAAGCUGAAACCAAGAGUUGGACACUCAACCAACUGAGCCACCCAGAACAAAAAAUUUGUGGAGAUUCUCAAAUUCAGCUUACCAGAUGAAACAUGCAGGUUAUUUUCUGCCAGCUGCUUGAACCUGUUACUGAAGUCCUUCUCACAUUUGAAAGCUUUACCUUUCAUCUUCCCUACAGUAAUUCUGGUUUAUCCAAUGUUCUCCAAAAGAGGAGUGAAAAUUGCCUGGCAUGACUCGGCUUCAGGAAAACAUGAUGAAGUGACAUGGAUUGAGAACAGAUUAAUUUCAGUGGAAGUAGGAUGACAGAGGAUUUGAUUGUAGAUUUUAAACUUUCAAAUUUUUAGCUAGGAAAGAGAAGACAGCAGCUUAUUUAACUUGACUUCUGAUGCCAUUAGAAUGUAAGUUCCCUGAGUUUAGAGAUUUUUGUGUUUUGAUCACUACUGUAUUCCUAUCCUUUAAAAAAUAGUGUCUGGUACAUAAUAGUUGGCUCAAUUAAGUACUGGCUGAAUAAAUACAUUGGACUAUACUUUUGUAACUUAAAUAAGGAUCAUCUUUUAGUAU
This is a long non-coding RNA of Canis lupus familiaris (dog), 1346 nucleotides long. RefSeq lists it as uncharacterized. The transcript is spliced from 6 exons. The record is from RefSeq and is a predicted model, not a curated record. Lineage: Eukaryota; Metazoa; Chordata; Mammalia; Carnivora; Canidae.